GAUGAACGCUGGCGGCGUGCCUAAUACAUGCAAGUCGAGCGAACGGACGAGAAGCUUGCUUCUCUGAUGUUAGCGGCGGACGGGUGAGUAACACGUGGAUAACCUACCUAUAAGACUGGGAUAACUUCGGGAAACCGGAGCUAAUACCGGAUAAUAUUUUGAACCGCAUGGUUCAAAAGUAAAAUACGGUCUUGCUGGCACUUAUAGAUGGAUCCGGGCUGCAUUAGCUAGUUGGUAAGGUAACGGCUUACCAAGGCAACGAUGCAUAGCCGACCUGAGAGGGGGAUCGGCCACACUGGAACUGAGACACGGUCCAGACUCCUACGGGAGGCAGCAGUAGGGAAUCGUCCGCAAUGGGCGAGAGCCUGACGGAGCAACGCCGCGUGAGUGAUGAAGGUCUUCGGAUCGUAAAACUCUGUUAUUAGGGAAGAACAUAUGUGUAAGUAACUGUGCACAGCUUGACGGUACCUAAUCAGAAAGCCACGGCUAACUACGUG
This 497-nucleotide ribosomal RNA is filed under the name uncultured bacterium. Its description in RNAcentral is "partial 16S ribosomal RNA". It matches the Rfam family "Bacterial small subunit ribosomal RNA", at positions 28 to 507 of the family's 1533-position model. The record is from RNAcentral.